UACGUAGGCAGCAAGCGUUGUUCGGAGUUACUGGGCGUAAAGAGUGCGUAGGCGGUUCCGUAAGUUUGGUGUGAAAUCUCCCGGCUCAACUGGGAGGGUGCGCCGAAGACUGCGGUGCUUGAGUGUGGGAAAGGUAGGCGGAAUUCCUGGUGUAGCGGUGAAAUGCGCAGAUAUCAGGAGGAACACCGGUGGCGAAGGCGGGUCUCUGGGCCGAUACUGACGCUGAGGAGCGAAAGCGUGGGGAGCGAACAGG
RNAcentral lists this ribosomal RNA (253 nucleotides) under uncultured bacterium. RNAcentral describes it as "partial 16S ribosomal RNA". It matches the Rfam family "Bacterial small subunit ribosomal RNA", at positions 524 to 776 of the family's 1533-position model. The record is from RNAcentral.